UCGAUGGUGGCGGGCGUUGGAAUUCUGGUGGCCGAGGUGGCAUGAGGGAUGUUGGCUUUGGUGGUCGUGGUGGGAUGAGAGAUGGUGGUUUUGGAGGACGUAGUGGGGGGAGAGAUGGUGGCUCUGGUGGACGUGGAGGGAUGAGAGAUAGUGGCUUCGGUGGACGGGGAGGGAUGAGAGAUGUUGGCUUUGGUGGACGUGGUGGGAUGAGAGAUGGUGGCUUCGGUGGUCGUGGUGGUGGGAGGAGGGAUGGUGCUCGGAUUGGUUGGGACAGGAAUGAGCGUGGCGGCACACGUGAUCAAUAUCACACGGGCAGGGGGCGGGGACGAUUUGAUAACAGAAGAGAUAUU
Molecule: long non-coding RNA, 350 nt
Filed under: Olea europaea (common olive)
Lineage: Eukaryota; Viridiplantae; Streptophyta; Magnoliopsida; Lamiales; Oleaceae
Description: long non-coding RNA (OEUR_LNC009823)
Source: RNAcentral